Molecule: transfer RNA, 73 nt
Filed under: Camelus bactrianus (Bactrian camel)
Lineage: Eukaryota; Metazoa; Chordata; Mammalia; Artiodactyla; Camelidae
Also listed under: 2 other names
Rfam family: tRNA
About the family: Transfer RNA (tRNA) molecules are approximately 80 nucleotides in length. Their secondary structure includes four short double-helical elements and three loops (D, anti-codon, and T loops). Further hydrogen bonds mediate the characteristic L-shaped molecular structure. tRNAs have two regions of fundamental functional importance: the anti-codon, which is responsible for specific mRNA codon recognition, and the 3' end, to which the tRNAs corresponding amino acid is attached (by aminoacyl-tRNA synthetases). tRNAs cope with the degeneracy of the genetic code in two manners: having more than one tRNA (with a specific anti-codon) for a particular amino acid; and 'wobble' base-pairing, i.e. permitting non-standard base-pairing at the 3rd anti-codon position.
Source: Rfam by way of RNAcentral
GAGGGUAUAGCUCAAGUGAUAGAGCACAUGCUUAGCAUGCACGAGGUCCUGGGUACAAUCCCCAGUACCUCCU